Long non-coding RNA from Callorhinus ursinus (northern fur seal), 516 nucleotides. RefSeq lists it as uncharacterized. The record is from RefSeq and is a predicted model, not a curated record. Lineage: Eukaryota; Metazoa; Chordata; Mammalia; Carnivora; Otariidae.
GCUAGGAAUGUAAUGGCUUGGGGGAUAGGUGGUGAUCUUUAAGUCGUCCCUUUCCUUUAUAUAUUGUCACCAUAGCCAGAGUCGUAAGAGCCUUUCAUGUACCUAUCCUGCUUAGCCACAGUCUGCCCAGCUGCCUGACAUCCUAAAUGAGGUGCCAAGAGACAUGGCUGCAUAUGGUGAUGCUCUAUUUGCCACUUGGUCACAGGGACCAUUUUACAGUAUGUUACGAGAGCCAGGCUGGAUGAAUGCAACAGUCCUAAUGAUAAUCAGAAGCUUCAGGUAACACCAAGAGCUUGUUAAGGCCCAAGGGACUCAUUUAUACAUUUGAAGACACUUCAAACUAUGGCUGAAGGAUGGUUUGAGGGGAAGAAGUUGGUGAAGAUGGAAUGAUUGCAAAUAAAAGAGAAGGGCCCAUGAAUGGAGCGAGAAUCCCGGGAAGAUAGGAGUCAAUAAUUAACAACUACACCACCACCUGCAACAUCGCCAGAACUGCCAGAAGAACCCUACAGAAAUGAG